Non-coding RNA from Pelobates cultripes (western spadefoot toad), 354 nucleotides. The record is from the annotation of a GenBank genome assembly. Lineage: Eukaryota; Metazoa; Chordata; Amphibia; Anura; Pelobatidae.
AUUUUGUUUCGCCGCCAUUUUGUGUCAGUGGUCCACGGAUCAGGACAGAGGAGAGUUCUUUGGAGCACAAACAAGAAGAGAAGAAGAAUAAUUUGUGGUCUGGAGUAGACAAGAAGAGAGAUGAGGAUCAGGAACACAGUUCCUAAGGAUAAAGGGAAGUCUAAAAAACAGGUUUAGAUUGUACUGUAUUCUCUUUGUGCUUUCAUGGGCAUACAUUACAGAUCCUGUAAUAUUAUUGCACUGUGUGCUAUUGAGUAGAGAUUUGACUUGAUUUGUCUGUGUGUGUCUGACAUAGCUGUCUGUGUGUAUAUGUGUUUGCCAUUGUGCCAUGUUUUGGCAGGUGGCAAAAGUAAG